GACCAUGGCACUAUAUAUAACAAACAAUCAUACAAGUAAGAAAACUAUCUAAAUCAUACAAAUAAAACUAUUUUAUAAAAAGGAUAAGAACAAGAGGAUCACCAAGGUGGUGCCGGCGACGGGACGGUGCGGGCGAUCGACGGUGGUUAGGACGGGGACGGAAAGGCACUAAGUAAACCACACCUACACAUAUGCAAACUAAGAAGUUAAUUUGAGCUCAGAUUGCAUAUAAAUCAAAUAAACUCACACAAAAUUACUCCCAAACUAAAACCACAAAUCACUAUACUUAUAGAACAUUCCACCAGCUAAUCUAUCAAUGGGAGCUGAAAGGACAAAGUUGCUAACCUUUGUGAACACUUGGAGAG
This 365-nucleotide long non-coding RNA is filed under the name Hordeum vulgare. RNAcentral describes it as "long non-coding RNA (HVUL_LNC020038)". The record is from RNAcentral. Lineage: Eukaryota; Viridiplantae; Streptophyta; Magnoliopsida; Poales; Poaceae.